AGGCAGCCUAGGAGAACAGAUGUAUGCAGUGGAUAGUUUCCGACCUGUCACAGCUUCUCUUAAUGUAUGGUUACGCCAAAUAAGGAGAGUAACUGAUUAAGUUAUAUAUUUCUAUAUACAGGUAUUUAUAUUUCUAGUAUAUGGUGAUCAUGUGGAAGUGCCUGAAGUUUGGAGUUCAAGCUGUGUGUAUCUGAAGGCAAAAGAAAGUAAUACAUUGAUGGCUACACUUCAAGACAGGGUGAUUUUAAUAGUGUUGUCUGGAAGAGUUACCAAGUAUUUUAUGAAAUAGGCAGAACAGAAAAUUCUAAGGAUCACAUGAAUGUUAACUGUGGUAAACGUGGAGACUAAAUUCAGCCACUUGAAGUGUGAAAUGGAGGGAUCUUAGUCUUGUUUCCAUUGAAAAGCUCAACCAAGUCUUAACUAUGCAGGUAGGGACUGGCUACAGGAGCUGAAAGUCUGAAAUGAAGCAAAGGGGUCUUAAUCCAGCCAGUCCAUAACUGCUGAGAGAAUGCUCCACCUGAGAGUUGACUGUUGUAAGUCACAACAAUACAUGACUGCAAAGAAAAAAAAGUUGCUUUUUUGUGUUGAUAAUUUAAAAAUAAAUGUUAAAAAUACAGUAUUCAUUUCAA
This is a long non-coding RNA of Gopherus flavomarginatus (Mexican gopher tortoise), 629 nucleotides long. RefSeq lists it as uncharacterized. The record is from RefSeq and is a predicted model, not a curated record. The transcript is spliced from 2 exons. Lineage: Eukaryota; Metazoa; Chordata; Testudines; Testudinidae.